AGCGAACGCUGGCGGCAGGCCUAACACAUGCAAGUCGAACGAACCUUUCGGGGUUAGUGGCGGACGGGUGAGUAACACGUGGGAACGUGCCUUUAGGUUCGGCAUAACUCAGGGAAACUUGUGCUAAUACCGAAUGUUCCCUUCGGGGGAAAGAUUAAUCGCCUUUAGAGCGGCCCGCGUCUGAUUAGCUAGUUGGUUGAGGUAAUGGCUCACCAAGGCGACGAUCAGUAGCUGGUCUGAGAGGAUGAUCAGCCACAUUGGGACUGAGACACGGCCCAAACUCCUACGGGAGGCAGCAGUGGGGAAUCUUGCGCAAUGGGCGAAAGCCUGACGCAGCCAUGCCGCGUGAAUGAUGAAGGUCUUAGGAUUGUAAGAUUCUUUCACCGGGGACGAUAAUGACGGUACCCGGAGAAGAAGCCCCGGCUAACUUCGUG
This 434-nucleotide ribosomal RNA is filed under the name uncultured bacterium. Its description in RNAcentral is "partial 16S ribosomal RNA". It matches the Rfam family "Bacterial small subunit ribosomal RNA", at positions 29 to 507 of the family's 1533-position model. The record is from RNAcentral.